AUUGAACGCUGGCGGCGUGCUUAACACAUGCAAGUCGAUCGGUAACAGGUGUAGCAAUACAUGCUGACGAGAGGCGGACGGGUGAGGAACGCUUGGGAAUCUGCCUAUCAGCGGGGGACAACCCGGGGAAACCCGGGCUAAUACCGCAUACGCUCUACGGAGGAAAGCCGGGGACCGCAAAGCCUGGCACUGAUAGAUGAGCCCAAGUCGGAUUAGCUAGUUGGCGAGGUAACGGCCCACCAAGGCGACGAUCCGUAGCUGGUCUGAGAGGACGAUCAGCCACACCGGAACUGAGACACGGUCCGGACUCCUACGGGAGGCAGCAGUGGGGAAUAUUGGACAAUGGGCGAAAGCCUGAUCCAGCGACGCCGCGUGGGUGAAGAAGGCCUGCGGGUUGUAAAGCCCUUUCGGUAGGGACGAAAGCUCUUGCUCUAACAAAGCAGGAGGUUGACUUAACCUACAUAAGAAGCACCGGCUAACUCUGUGCCAGCCGCCGCGGUAA
Molecule: ribosomal RNA, 502 nt
Filed under: uncultured bacterium
Lineage: Bacteria
Description: partial 16S ribosomal RNA
Rfam family: Bacterial small subunit ribosomal RNA
Source: RNAcentral